RNAcentral lists this non-coding RNA (99 nucleotides) under Picochlorum sp. RCC944. The record is from RNAcentral. Lineage: Eukaryota; Viridiplantae; Chlorophyta; Trebouxiophyceae.
UUCUUUUUUUUUCUUUUCUUUCGUCUUUUUUAUUUUUGAUUCUUUUUGGGGAGAAUCUCUUUUGACGGAAAAAGGUUAUGAAAGAAGAGAGAAGAUAAG